CCGGGGGCUGGGUGGCCUCCUCUCUUCUGGCCCUAAUGACGGACCUUUUCUCUUGGGCCUCUUUUUGCAGUCGCUCCUUAACUGCCCACAAUGGGCGCCUUGUUUCAUCCAUUCUCGUCAACUCUCAGGAAAGGGAGACCUUGAGAAAGGAAUUUAACCCCCUGAAAAUAUAAAUCAACCCCUGAAGUCUGGAAACUCUAGAGUUGUGACUGUGUGCAGUGCCACUGUUAUCGUCUUAUUUUUCUUGGAAGCACCACUUAAUGAAAUCAGACACAUGAAUUGAGUAGUUUGAGAAAUGAUAUUAUGAAUUUAGAAUGCUUCCACCAAAGCAUUUCAUGGGGUGCAACUACAUGGUAGAAAUAAUGAUUGGUGCUGCUGUCAACAUGAGCUGUUACCAGAGUUACAUAACAUUGAGCCAUGGCAAUAAAAGUGGCAUCAAAUGAAUGAAUCCUACAGUAUAGAUGCCCUCCAUGGUGAUAAAAGGUCUAGGAACCAAGUCCUGUGUUGAAUAGUUGAGAGAACUGGGUAUGUUUAUCCUGAAGAAGAGAAAACUAAGAUAGUAAUAACUGCUUAACAUUAGAAUCAAUUGCCUAGGAAGAUGGCCAACUUGAUGAUAUAAGGUAUUUGCAUGCAUAACGGGAAGGGAAAAGAAGCAGAGUGGCUAUUGGCUUUGUAGCUGAAAAUCAUGUGGAAGAGUUGAAUGUGGACCAUCCCCGAAUAGUAAGGUAAAUUCACCAGAGAAAAAAGUGAAACUGGUUAUGGCAAACUCACCACGAUGAAUUUGAUAUUUGGUGUUAACAGAGGCCACAUCUACACUGCCAUAUAAUCCAAUUUGAACUGAAUUAUAAUGACCAGUAUAGACUCAUAUAAUGCAGAUUGGAGCACUUUGAAUAUGAGUCUUCAUAUCCAAUCCAGUUUAAUGCCAUUAAUCCGCAUUCUGAAACUGUAUGUUAUGGCAGUGUAGAUAGAGCCAGAGUCACCUCAGAGCAAAUGUGGACCAAGAAAAUAUGGUCAAACCAUUUUUUGUUUUGUUUUGGGUUUUUUGUCAGUGUAAAUAAGCCCUGUGAUUCUCUAGGAUCAGGUUUGGUUGACAAUUCUGCAAGUCCACAAUUCUAUGAUUUUGUCUUUUGGAGAAGCUGCUGCUAGAGAUAAACAUAAUUGUGAGAUUAACCUGUCUCUUAACUUUUAUAUAAUCAGCUCAUUUGCUUGUUUGGUUUACCCUAUAACCCAGUUUUCUCCCAUACAGAACUCCCAUACAGAACCCUUACCAAAGAGGAAGAUGCUUUCUUUUUAAUUCAAGUUACGGAGGAUGAAAGGAAAGAACCUACAUAUAGAUGAUAAGAAUGCAUGCAUGGUUGUACUCUGAAAGUUUAACCUUUCAAAGGUGUUUCAUUUAAAAUCGAGUCAUUUCAGAGAAACAUCUAGAAGUUUAUGUUAAUUUUUCCUUUAAAAAAGAAAUAAGAAUUAUUCAUGAAACAUCCAGAAAUAAAGAAAUGUAAUAAAACAAUUGUGCAUGCCUUUUCAAACACUGCAGAUGCAGACACACAGCUGAAUUCUUCUAAUAUUGUGCCUUAAGCAUUCUCUUGCCACAUACUAUGGGUGGGGGGAACUCCUUAGCUAUACAGUUAAUUUUAUCAACUUUUAAAGAUGCUUUUAAAAUGUCCCUGUUUCCUUCUUCCAUUUUUACUCAUUGUUCUCAAUUUACUUCAGUUGAAACAAAAUAAAUUCAAAGUGCAAAAGUAGUUUGUACUCAAGUAACUCCAUCUGGGAGGGCGGUGGCAGAAUUUUGCCCUUCCCAAUAAACCAGAAGGCAAACUGCUAUAGCCUCUUCUA
Anolis carolinensis (green anole) is the source of this 1833-nucleotide long non-coding RNA. RefSeq lists it as uncharacterized. The transcript has 2 exons. The record is from RefSeq and is a predicted model, not a curated record. Lineage: Eukaryota; Metazoa; Chordata; Lepidosauria; Squamata; Anolidae.